Molecule: ribosomal RNA, 698 nt
Filed under: uncultured archaeon
Lineage: Archaea
Description: bacterial SSU rRNA
Rfam family: Archaeal small subunit ribosomal RNA
Source: RNAcentral
GGACAACCUGCCCUCGGGAGGGGGAUACCCCGGGAAACUGGGGCUAAACCCCCAUAGGUGAUGGAUACUGGAAUGUUCCAUCACCGAAAGUCCGCAAGGAGCCCGAGGAUGGGUCUGCGGCGGAUUAGGUAGUUGGUGGGGUAACGGCCCACCAAGCCUAAGAUCCGUACGGGCCAUGGGAGUGGGAGCCCGGAGAUGGACCCUGAGACAAGGGUCCAGGCCCUACGGGGCGCAGCAGGCGCGAAACCUCCGCAAUGCGGGAAACCGCGACGGGGUCAGCCGGAGUGCCGAUGCUUGCAUCGGCUGUCGGGGAGCCUAAAAAGCUCCCCAUAGCAAGGGCCGGGCAAGGCCGGUGGCAGCCGCCGCGGUAAUACCGGCGGCCCGAGUGGCGGCCACUAUUAUUGGGCUUAAAGCGUCCGUAGCCGGGUUGGUUAGUCUCCCGGGAAAUCUGGCCGCUUAACGGUCAGAAUUCCGGGAGAUACUGCCAGCCUAGGGACCGGGAGAGGCCGAGGGUAUUCCCGGAGUAGGGGUGAAAUCCUAUAAUCCCGGGAGGACCACCUGUGGCGAAGGCGCUCGGCUGGAACGGGUCCGACGGUGAGGGACGAAGGCCAGGGGAGCAAACCGGAUUAGAUACCCGGGUAGUCCUGGCUGUAAACGAUGCGGACUUUGUGUCGGACAAGCUAUGAGCUUGUCCGGUG